This 253-nucleotide ribosomal RNA is filed under the name uncultured bacterium. Its description in RNAcentral is "partial 16S ribosomal RNA". It matches the Rfam family "Bacterial small subunit ribosomal RNA", at positions 524 to 776 of the family's 1533-position model. The record is from RNAcentral.
UACGUAGGGGGCUAGCGUUGUCCGGAAUCAUUGGGCGUAAAGAGCGCGUAGGCGGCUAGAUAAGUCCGGUGUGAAAGUCACAGGCUCAACCUGUGAAUGCCGCUGGAAACUGUCUGGCUAGAGUCCGGAAGGGGCGAGUGGAAUUCCCAGUGUAGCGGUGAAAUGCGCAGAUAUCAGGAGGAACACCGAUGGCGAAGGCAGGUCUCUGGGCAUUAACUGACGCUGAGGAGCGAAAGCAUGGGGAGCGAACAGG